UCAGAUGAACGCUGGCGGCAGGCCUAACACAUGCAAGUCGAACGGUAACAGGAAGAAGCUUGCUCUUGCUGACGAGUGGCGGACGGGUGAGUAAUGUCUGGAAACUGCCUGAUGGAGGGGGAUAACUACUGGAAACGGUAGCUAAUACCGCAUAACGUCGCAAGACCAAAGAGGGGGACCUUCGGGCCUCUUGCCAUCGGAUGUGCCCAGAUGGGAUUAGCUAGUAGGUGGGGUAACGGCUCACCUAGGCGACGAUCCCUAGCUGGUCUGAGAGGAUGACCAGCCACACUGGAACUGAGACACGGUCCAGACUCCUACGGGAGGCAGCAGUGGGGAAUAUUGCACAAUGGGCGCAAGCCUGAUGCAGCCAUGCCGCCGUGUAUGAAGAAGGCCUUCGGGUUGUAAAGUACUUUCAGCGGGGAGGAAGGGAGUAAAGUUAAUACCUUUGCUCAUUGACGUUACCCGCAGAAGAAGCACCGGCUAACUCCGUGCCAGCCGCGGC
This 502-nucleotide ribosomal RNA is filed under the name uncultured bacterium. RNAcentral's name for it is "bacterial SSU rRNA". It matches the Rfam family "Bacterial small subunit ribosomal RNA", at positions 28 to 518 of the family's 1533-position model. The record is from RNAcentral.